UCCAGACUCCUACGGGAGGCAGCAGUGGGGGAUAUUGCACAAUGGGGGGAACCCUGAUGCAGCGACGCCGCGUGGGUGAGGAAGUACCCCGGUAUGUAAAGCCCUUUCGGCAGGGAAGAAAAUGACGGUACCUGGCGAAGAAGCCCCGGCUAACUACGUGCCAGCAGCCGCGGUAAUACGUAGGGGGCAAGCGUUAUCCGGAUUCACUGGGUGUAAAGGGAGCGUAGACGGCGACGCAAGUCUGGAGUGAAAUCCCGGGGCCCAACCCCGGGACUGCUCUGGAAACUGCGUCGCUGGAGUACGGGAGGGGCAGGCGGAAUUCCUGGUGUAGCGGUGAAAUGCGUAGAUAUCAGGAGGAACACCGGCGGCGAAGGCGGCCUGCUGGGCCGUGACUGACGUUGAGGCUCGAGAGCGUGGGGAGCAAACAGGAUUAGAUACCCCGGUACAU
This 448-nucleotide ribosomal RNA is filed under the name uncultured bacterium. Its description in RNAcentral is "bacterial SSU rRNA". It matches the Rfam family "Bacterial small subunit ribosomal RNA", at positions 330 to 794 of the family's 1533-position model. The record is from RNAcentral.